GCCGGGCGUGGUAGCAGGCACCUGUAGUCCCACCUACUCGGGAGGCUGAAGCAGGAGAAUGGCGUGAACCCGGGAGGCAGAGCUUGCAGUGAGCUGAGAUCGCGCCACUGCACUCCAGCCUGGGCGACAGAGCGAGACUCCAUCUCAAAAAAAAAAAAAAAAAAAAAGGCCAAAAGAUG
Molecule: small RNA, 179 nt
Filed under: Pan troglodytes (chimpanzee)
Lineage: Eukaryota; Metazoa; Chordata; Mammalia; Primates; Hominidae
Source: RNAcentral